GAUACGACUCUCGGCAAUGGAUAUCUCGGCUCUCGCAUCGAUGAAGAGCGCAGCGAAAUGCGAUACGUGGUGCGAAUUGCAGAAUCCCGCGAAC
This 94-nucleotide ribosomal RNA is filed under the name Anguloa hohenlohii. RNAcentral's name for it is "5.8S ribosomal RNA". It matches the Rfam family "5.8S ribosomal RNA", at positions 1 to 89 of the family's 154-position model. From Rfam's summary of the family: 5.8S ribosomal RNA (5.8S rRNA) is a component of the large subunit of the eukaryotic ribosome. It is transcribed by RNA polymerase I as part of the 45S precursor that also contains 18S and 28S rRNA. Lineage: Eukaryota; Viridiplantae; Streptophyta; Magnoliopsida; Asparagales; Orchidaceae. The record is from RNAcentral. RNAcentral also lists the same sequence under 1 other name.